Molecule: ribosomal RNA, 380 nt
Filed under: uncultured eukaryote
Lineage: Eukaryota
Description: partial 18S ribosomal RNA
Rfam family: Eukaryotic small subunit ribosomal RNA
Source: RNAcentral
CAAUAGCGUAUAUUAAAGUUGUUGCAGUUAAAAAGCUCGUAGUUGGAUUUGUGGCUGUCACGGGCGGCCUAUCACUUAGUGUUAGUGCUUGCCUGUGUCGCCAUCCUUGGGUGGAGCCCGUGUGGCAUUAGGUUGUCGUGCGGGGGAUGCCCAUCGUUUACUGUGAGAAAAUUAGAGUGUUCAAAGCAGGCUUAUGCCGUUGAAUAUGUUAGCAUGGAAUAAUAAGAUAGGACCUCGGUACUAUUUUGUUGGUUUGCGCACCGAGGUAAUGAUUAAUAGGGACAGUUGGGGGUAUUCGUAUUUCAUUGUCAGAGGUGAAAUUCCUGGAUUUCUGAAAGACGAACUACUGCGAAAGCAUUUACCAAGGAUGUUUUCAUUAA